This 433-nucleotide ribosomal RNA is filed under the name uncultured bacterium. Its description in RNAcentral is "partial 16S ribosomal RNA". It matches the Rfam family "Bacterial small subunit ribosomal RNA", at positions 29 to 507 of the family's 1533-position model. The record is from RNAcentral.
AACGAACGCUGGCGGCAUGCCUAACACAUGCAAGUCGAACGAGACGUCCGGGCUUAGUGGCGCACCGCUGCUUGACGACUGGGAACCUGCACUUAGGUUCGCUAUAACUCCCUGAAAGGGGUCUUAAUACCGGUUAAUGUCAUCGCACCAAAGAUUUCUCGCCUUUGGAUGGGCGCGCGUUAGAUUCGCUAGUUGGUAGGGUAAAAGCCUACCAAUGCCACGUUGCAUGGCUGGUCUGAGAGGAUGACAAGCUGCAAUGGAACUGAGACACGGCCCAGAAUCCGACGGAAGGGAGCAGUGGGGAAUAUUGUACGAUGAGGGAAAGUCUGAUCAAGCAAUGUGGCGUAAGUGAUGAAGGCGGUAGGGUUGUGAAGCUCUUUUACACGAGAUGAUAAUGACAGUACCGGGUGAAUAAGCUCCGGCUAACUCCGUG